AACGAACGCUGGCGGCAUGCCUAACACAUGCAAGUCGAACGAGACCUUCGGGUCUAGUGGCGCACGGGUGCGUAACGCGUGGGAACCUGCCCUUAGGUUCGGAAUAACUCCCCGAAAGGGGUGCUAAUACCGGAUAAUGUCUUCGGACCAAAGAUUUAUCGCCUUUGGAUGGGCCCGCGUUGGAUUAGCUAGUUGGUAGGGUAAAAGCCUACCAAGGCGACGAUCCAUAGCUGGUCUGAGAGGAUGAUCAGCCACACUGGGACUGAGACACGGCCCAGACUCCUACGGGAGGCAGCAGUGGGGAAUAUUGGACAGUGGGCGAAAGCCUGAUCCAGCAUUGCCGCGUGAGUGAUGAGGCCCUUGGGGUUGAAAAGCUUUUUUCCCCGGGAUGAUAAUGACAGUCCGGGGAAAAAAAGCUCCGGCUAACUCCGUG
Molecule: ribosomal RNA, 433 nt
Filed under: uncultured bacterium
Lineage: Bacteria
Description: partial 16S ribosomal RNA
Rfam family: Bacterial small subunit ribosomal RNA
Source: RNAcentral